Molecule: transfer RNA, 85 nt
Filed under: Deltaproteobacteria bacterium
Lineage: Bacteria; Pseudomonadati; Myxococcota; Myxococcia
Description: tRNA-Leu
Rfam family: tRNA
About the family: Transfer RNA (tRNA) molecules are approximately 80 nucleotides in length. Their secondary structure includes four short double-helical elements and three loops (D, anti-codon, and T loops).
Source: RNAcentral
GCCAGAGUGGCGAAACUGGUAGACGCGGCGGACUCAAAAUCCGCUGGGCCUUGCGCCCUUGAGAGUUCGAGUCUCUCCUCUGGCA